This 62-nucleotide small RNA is filed under the name Chrysemys picta bellii (western painted turtle). RNAcentral's name for it is "TUC338 (ENSCPBG00000010463.1)". Lineage: Eukaryota; Metazoa; Chordata; Testudines; Emydidae. The record is from RNAcentral.
CAGGUACUUUGCAAGGAGUGAUAGUGCAAGCUUUCCCACACUACCCUGUCAAUGUGCCUGGA